Molecule: long non-coding RNA, 444 nt
Organism: Canis lupus familiaris (dog)
Lineage: Eukaryota; Metazoa; Chordata; Mammalia; Carnivora; Canidae
Exons: 4
Source: RefSeq, a predicted model, not a curated record
UUUAUAACAUGGACCACAGAGGUAAGUGAUUUCUAACAAAGAGAAUUAAUUAUUUAUCAAGAUAAUGUACAAUAUUUAGCUGCCUCUUUCUGUCCAUAGGUUUUCUUUACCUAGUCAUCCUGCCGCACCUCCUGAACAUCUGAAAGAACCUUGGGUAUACAUGAGGAAAGCACAGACUUCAGUGUGCUGAUUUUUCUCACAACUUCAGUCUUGGAUGAUCUAUGGUCCCCACUUCUUUGUGAAUCAGCUAACUGAGGCUAAGCUUAGCGAAGUAAAUCUCCCAUGUGGAUCUGGAUGGACUUAGCGCACCACUAUUGACUGGACACAGGCUUUCAGACAGUAAAUGAAACUGAUAACAGUAAUUGACAAGUCAACCAAACAACCAAACAAACUUCCUAUCCCCCUCAAACACAAGGAGCAGUUUCCAACACAUGUUGAAGGUAA